AGUGAACGCUGGCGGCAGGCCUAAUACAUGCAAGUCGAACGGCAGCACAGCAGAGCUUGCUCUGUGGGUGGCGAGUGGCGGACGGGUGAGGAAUACAUGGGAAUCUGCCCAGUCGUGGGGGAUAACGUAGGGAAACUUACGCUAAUACCGCAUGCGCCCUUUGGGGGAAAGCCGGGGAUCUUCGGACCUGGCGCGAUUGGAUGAGCCCACGUCGGAUUAGCUAGUUGGGGGGGUAAAGGCCCACCAAGGGGACGACCCGUAGCUGGUCUGGGAGGAUGACCAGCCACACUGGAACUGAGACACGGUCCAGACUCCUACGGGAGGCAGCAGUAGGGAAUAUUGGACAAUGGGCGCAAGCCUGAUCCAGCCAUGCCGCGUGAGUGAAGAAGGCCCUCGGGUUGUAAAGCUCUUUUGUUGGGGAAGAAAAGCCUUGGGUUAAUACCCUGAGGUUCUGACGGUACCCAAAGAAUAAGCACCGGUUAACUUCGUGCCAGCAGCCGCCGUAA
Molecule: ribosomal RNA, 506 nt
Filed under: uncultured bacterium
Lineage: Bacteria
Description: partial 16S ribosomal RNA
Rfam family: Bacterial small subunit ribosomal RNA
Source: RNAcentral